Long non-coding RNA from Ictalurus furcatus (blue catfish), 968 nucleotides. RefSeq lists it as uncharacterized. The transcript has 4 exons. NCBI's taxonomy places the organism in Eukaryota, Metazoa, Chordata, Actinopteri, Siluriformes, Ictaluridae. The record is from RefSeq and is a predicted model, not a curated record.
AAACUGUCAAUCAAGUUCUAAAGUCCCGGAUGUAGCAAUGACGACCAAAGACAACGUAAGCCUCUGUCAUCAUCUGUCAAUCAUCACCAUGGCGCCUAAAUCAGACAGUCCUCUCUUCAUAUGUGGCUGCUGUGAAAGUAGAUGUCCCUUCACUGGCGCUAAGAUGCCCCAACAUGUUCCAGUAUGACAAUGUCCCAUGCACAAACUGAGCUCCAAGCAAAGGCAUGGGUUACCAAGGAUCACGUGGAAGAACUCGAGUGGCCUACACAGAGCCCUGACCUCAACCCCACUGAACACCUUCGGGAUGAAUCAGAACGCCGACUGAGACCCAGGCCUUUUGGAGCGUUCAGCAGUAUAAAUCACCAUGGACAGCAACAUCCAGCUGUACAGACCGGGCUAAACUGAGGGUGCCUGGAGUGGCACAUCUCUAUUCGUCUGUACAAAUAUGUGAAGUACCUCAUGAACCAGGGUUUGUAACUCACACCCUCACUUGCACUCACAUAGGUUUAGAAAGUGGAAUAUUCUCCACAAGAGGGAGUCAUUGACACAAGGGUCCCCCCCCCUUUGGAUCAUCAUGGGGCAAAAAUCAAACUUGUACCAGUGAUUCUAUGGACAAUUUUAUUUUAUGUUGUGUCAGGAACUGUGUAUUGCUACCUUCUUGAUCAGCCCAGUAAACUCUAUGGCACAGUGGGUCAUAUUUGAUAAUUGAUCAAGAAAAACAAAACCAAUCCAAGUUAUAAAGAAAAGAAAUGAAAAAUCAUAUCAGAUGAUAUGCUUGGAAUCAGCUUUCCAGAAAACUGAUUUAGGAUCAGAUUUUUUUUGUUGACGUGAACUUAUCCUUAAUGAACACCUGUAAUCUGAGAUGUUUAGUGCAUAUCAAAUUUAUGAUAAUAUACAGGUCUAUACAGUCAUGGGAAAAGGAAAGUACACUCUCACAUGUUUUCAUUUAUCAGCGCAUAAAUAACAAC